CGUAGGGUGCGAGCGUUAAUCGGAAUUACUGGGCGUAAAGCGUGCGCAGGCGGUUUUGUAAGACAGAUGUGAAAUCCCCGGGCUCAACCUGGGACCUGCAUUUGUGACUGCAAGGCUAGAGUACGGUAGAGGGGAUGGAAUUCCGCGUGUAGCAGUGAAAUGCGUAGAUAUGCGGAGGAGCACCGAUGGCGAAGGCAAUCCCCUGGACCUGUACUGACGCUCAUGCACGAAAGCGUGGGGAGCAAACAGGAUUAGAUACCCUGGUAGUCCACGCCCUAAACGAUGUCAACUGGUUGUUGGGUCUUUACUGACUCAGUAACGAAGCUAACGCGUGAAGUUGACCGCCUGGGGAUACGGCCGCAAGGUUG
This 368-nucleotide ribosomal RNA is filed under the name uncultured organism. RNAcentral describes it as "bacterial SSU rRNA". It matches the Rfam family "Bacterial small subunit ribosomal RNA", at positions 526 to 896 of the family's 1533-position model. The record is from RNAcentral.